AGCAGCAUGGUGUAUCGCCGCACACGGGGUUUUCUUGAUGGGGGCACAAUGGAAACUAGUCACCCUGAGGUCCUUGUUCGAUUCGAGGUGCUGCUA
Molecule: non-coding RNA, 96 nt
Organism: Mycena crocata
Lineage: Eukaryota; Fungi; Basidiomycota; Agaricomycetes; Agaricales; Mycenaceae
Source: the annotation of a GenBank genome assembly